UUAAUUGGUGGUCGGUUUGGGCAGCGAUGCUUUGGGCAAUUUGGAGGCACAGAAACGAUGUUCUUUUCAAUGAGAUCAACCGGGAUAUAGAAACUGUGUUUGAUGACUGCAAGUAUAAAUGUUGAUGUUGGAAUAAGUCCAAGGUAUCGGGUUUUGAGUUCCCAUUAUAGGUGUGGAUGAUGGAUGUGAACAAUACGCAGGAACAAUUACAUGGAGGUUACAGAGAGGAAGAUUGAGAUUAUGGAUACGAAUUGGGAUGGGAAUGUAUCUGGGAGAAAAGGAAAUUAUCUUGCUGAAUUUAAUGACAUAUCAGAAAAUUGUGGCAAUUUUGCCUUAAAACACGUUGUAAU
This 350-nucleotide long non-coding RNA is filed under the name Glycine max (soybean). RNAcentral's name for it is "long non-coding RNA (GMAX_LNC000868)". The record is from RNAcentral. Lineage: Eukaryota; Viridiplantae; Streptophyta; Magnoliopsida; Fabales; Fabaceae.